CAUUCACGGAGAGUUUGAUCCUGGCUCAGGACGAACGCUGGCGGCGUGCUUAACACAUGCAAGUCGAACGAUGAACCACUUCGGUGGGGAUUAGUGGCGAACGGGUGAGUAACACGUGGGCAAUCUGCCCUGCACUCUGGGACAAGCCCUGGAAACGGGGUCUAAUACCGGAUACUGAUCAUCUUGGGCAUCUUGGAUGAUCGAAAGCUCCGGCGGUGCAGGAUGAGCCCGCGGCCUAUCAGCUUGUUGGUGAGGUAAUGGCUCACCAAGGCGACGACGGGUAGCCGGCCUGAGAGGGCGACCGGCCACACUGGGACUGAGACACGGCCCAGACUCCUACGGGAGGCAGCAGUGGGGAAUAUUGCACAAUGGGCGAAAGCCUGAUGCAGCGACGCCGCGUGAGGGAUGACGGCCUUCGGGUUGUAAACCUCUUUCAGCAGGGAAGAAGCGAAAGUGACGGUACCUGCAGAAGAAGCGCCGGCUAACUACGUGCCAGCAGCCGCGGUAAUACGUAGGGCGCGAGCGUUGUCCGGAAUUAUUGGGCGUAAAGAGCUCGUAGGCGGCUUGUCACGUCGGUUGUGAAAGCCCGGGGCUUAACCCCGGGUCUGCAGUCGAUACGGGCAGGCUAGAGUUCGGUAGGGGAGAUCGGAAUUCCUGGUGUAGCGGUGAAAUGCGCAGAUAUCAGGAGGAACACCGGUGGCGAAGGCGGAUCUCUGGGCCGAUACUGACGCUGAGGAGCGAAAGCGUGGGGAGCGAACAGGAUUAGAUACCCUGGUAGUC
Molecule: ribosomal RNA, 780 nt
Filed under: Actinospica acidiphila
Lineage: Bacteria; Bacillati; Actinomycetota; Actinomycetes; Catenulisporales; Actinospicaceae
Description: bacterial SSU rRNA
Rfam family: Bacterial small subunit ribosomal RNA
Source: RNAcentral